GGGAAUGUGGCUUAGUGGUAGAGUGCUUGCCUAGCAUGCAUGAAGCCCUGGGUUCAAUUUCUCAUUACCA
Molecule: non-coding RNA, 70 nt
Organism: Dipodomys ordii (Ord's kangaroo rat)
Lineage: Eukaryota; Metazoa; Chordata; Mammalia; Rodentia; Heteromyidae
Source: Rfam